AACGUAGGUGGCAAGCGUUAUCCGGAUUUACUGGGCGUAAAGCAUGUGCAGACGGGUUGGUAAGUGGUGUAUGAAAGCGUCCGGCUUAACCGGGCAAGCGUAGGCCAGACUGCCAGUCUUGAGAGUGGGAGAGGGAUGUGGAAUUCCGGGUGUAGUGGUGAAAUGCGUAGAGAUCCGGAGGAACCCCAGAGGCGAAGGCGGCCAUCUGGAUCAACACUGACGCUGAGGCACGAAAGCGUGGGGAGCAAACAGG
Molecule: ribosomal RNA, 253 nt
Filed under: uncultured bacterium
Lineage: Bacteria
Description: partial 16S ribosomal RNA
Rfam family: Bacterial small subunit ribosomal RNA
Source: RNAcentral